GAUGAACGCUGGCGGCGUGCCUAACACAUGCAAGUCGAACGAAUUACUUUAAAGGAAGUUUUCGGAUGGAAUUUAAAGUAGUUAGUGGCGGACGGGUGAGUAACGCGUGGGAAACCUGCCCUAUACAGGGGGAUAGCCUCGGGAAACUGGGAUUAAUACCCCAUAAAACUCUAGUAUCGCAUGAUACAUGAGCCAAAGAUUUAUCGGUAUAGGAUGGUCCCGCGUCUGAUUAGCUAGUUGGUGAGGUAACGGCUCACCAAGGCGACGAUCAGUAGCCGGCCUGAGAGGGUGAACGGCCACACUGGAACUGAGACACGGUCCAGACUCCUACGGGAGGCAGCAGUGGGGAAUAUUGCACAAUGGGGGAAACCCUGACCCAGCGACGCCGCGUGGGUGAAGAAAUCCUUCGGGAUGUAAAGCCCUGUUGUAUGGGAAGAGCGGAAGACGGUACCAUACGAGGAAGCCCCGGCAAACUACGUG
RNAcentral lists this ribosomal RNA (480 nucleotides) under uncultured bacterium. Its description in RNAcentral is "bacterial SSU rRNA". It matches the Rfam family "Bacterial small subunit ribosomal RNA", at positions 28 to 507 of the family's 1533-position model. The record is from RNAcentral.